UCACUUAAUUGUGCCGAUCCCAU
RNAcentral lists this non-coding RNA (23 nucleotides) under Arabidopsis thaliana (thale cress). The record is from RNAcentral. Lineage: Eukaryota; Viridiplantae; Streptophyta; Magnoliopsida; Brassicales; Brassicaceae.